UUUAUGGAGAGUUUGAUCCUGGCUCAGGAUGAACGCUGGCGGCGUGCCUAAUACAUGCAAGUCGAGCGAACGGACGAGAAGCUUGCUUUUCUGAUGUUAGCGGCGGACGGGUGAGUAACACGUGGAUAACCUACCUAUAAGACUGGGAUAACUUCGGGAAACCGGAGCUAAUACCGGAUAAUAUUUUGAACCGCAUGGUUCAAAAGUGAAAGACGGUCUUGCUGUCACUUAUAGAUGGAUCCGCGCUGCAUUAGCUAGUUGGUAAGGUAACGGCUUACCAAGGCAACGAUGCAUAGCCGACCUGAGAGGGUGAUCGGCCACACUGGAACUGAGACACGGUCCAGACUCCUACGGGAGGCAGCAGUAGGGAAUCUUCCGCAAUGGGCGAAAGCCUGACGGAGCAACGCCGCGUGAGUGAUGAAGGUCUUCGGAUCGUAAAACUCUGUUAUUAGGGAAGAACAUAUGUGUAAGUAACUGUGCACAUCUUGACGGUACCUAAUCAGAAAGCCACGGCUAACUACGUGCCAGCAGCCGCGGUAAUACGUAGGUGGCAAGCGUUAUCCGGAAUUAUUGGGCGUAAAGCGCGCGUAGGCGGUUUUUUAAGUCUGAUGUGAAAGCCCACGGCUCAACCGUGGAGGGUCAUUGGAAACUGGAAAACUUGAGUGCAGAAGAGGAAAGUGGAAUUCCAUGUGUAGCGGUGAAAUGCGCAGAGAUAUGGAGGAACACCAGUGGCGAAGGCGACUUUCUGGUCUGUAACUGACGCUGAUGUGCGAAAGCGUGGGGAUCAAACAG
This 792-nucleotide ribosomal RNA is filed under the name Staphylococcus aureus. Its description in RNAcentral is "bacterial SSU rRNA". It matches the Rfam family "Bacterial small subunit ribosomal RNA", at positions 1 to 775 of the family's 1533-position model. Lineage: Bacteria; Bacillati; Bacillota; Bacilli; Caryophanales; Staphylococcaceae. The record is from RNAcentral.